CCCUUAUCAUCAAUUCUAGGGUUUCAGUUGUUGAAUUCCUUUAUUUCUUUCUAACUUUGCAAAAAUUCAACUCAUGUAUGGACUAAUUUGAGUUCUACAGGAAGAAAGCUUGGACUUUUAGGGUUUCAGUAAUGUUUUCUGUUAUAAUUUAGGAGAAAGAAGCCUUGUGAUAUGUCAUUUCUCUUCUUUGUUGGGAGAAGCCUAUGAUUUAUGACCUGAGUUUUUUUUAUUUUUAAAUUGGUGGAUCUUUGAUGUUUUGUGAUGCUUGUGCUGGAUGGUAGCUUAUGAUAAUUAAUUGUUUUCAUGCAUUAAAUAUACAAGACUCGUGGUAAUACUUGUUUAGUAGUAGUAGUAGUUCCUGAUUCUUUAUAUCCCAUUGUGGUCAUUUAGCAGUGCGGAGGCAUUGUUAUGGUGCUAAACUUUAUGAACAAAAUAAAGUGUAAUAUGGAAUGAUAUUUUUCGUUCACCCUCAAGGUUGGUUGAUAACUUUAUAUUGUAGAGGAGCACUUGAGAAAAUUAAAAGAAUAAAAUUCAGAAAACAAAGUUUAUGGAAAAUGGGAAAUUGUCAUCAAAUUUUUAGUUGUAGUAUCUAAGUAAGAUCUGCGGAAAACAAAAUUCAGAUAUCAUUUCAUGGAGUAUAUAUCAAUUCAACGAACUAAAAAAGGUAGAUUUUAAAAUAAGCCAUAUGAAUACUUCCUCACCUGCUUGUAAAAAGGUUCCACCUAUUAAAGACUGGAUACUUGUCUUGAAAGCUGUGUUGCAUGGACGUGGAAACAUGUCCAAGUGCAUGAUUUGGCAAAAGGAAGAAAAGGAGACACGGGUAUAGACAAGAAAGAAUAAUUUUAACUAAUAUAUAUUUAAAUAUAAAAUUAUUCUAAUUAGCUGAAAUACCAAUAUGAGAAAAAAAUAAAAGGUACUAUUUGUAAAGGUCUUUCAAUGUGCAUGUUUUUCAUCCAAACUUUCUACUUAGCUGAAAGAUUUUAGAGAAGUGGCAUUCUAUGAAGUUAUUUUAAUACCUAUCUUGCUGAUGAAUCUCUAAAAAGAACAAAAGCUAGCUUGUAGAUUUUUUGUAGUGAGUUGAACUCAUUGGAGUCCAAGUCCAUACCAAUUCUUAAAAGCUUCAGUUAUAAAAAAAUAGAUAAGUAUCCAAGUGCCUAACUCUUUAACUGAUUUGGCUACAUAUUGACUAGGAUUCUAGGAGCUGGGACAUUAGUAUCUAGGUAACUCAUCUUGAAAUCUCUUUGAAUACUAGAUUGGAAACUAAUUGCUUGUCAGUCUCCUGUGUGCCUUGUAAUGGUAGAAAAAAGGUGGUACCAACUGUAUUUUCACCCAUCUUUGUUAUGUAAUUCCUUAAAAAUUGUGCACAUGGUUGUUCUUCAGUGUAGGCAAAACUAUUUGAAGAAUGGAAAAGUUAGAUCAUUAGGACUCAGAUCUUAUAAUAUUGGGCAAUAUUUUUUUAUUCAUUGGAAAAAGUUCAGCUCUGACCAUAUCCUUUAGCCUUACGGCACAUCAUUUGUAUCUAAACUUAAUUCUUCCAAUACAUUGAAAUUAAGUGAUCAAUUUACAUAUUCCAAGCCAAGUCAAUGAUUCGAAUUAUGUUUAGCUAUGGCUACUUGGUGGGAUAAAUUUGCAGGGUAGAUUGAGUGGCAUUUGAGCAUGCAAAUUUCACUUCAGGCAUGAGUUUGGAUGCUGCUGUUUGGAUUAAGACAAGUGUACCAAUGUGUAAAUCAUUUCUGUAACUGCUGAUCUUGCCUUGCAAUUCUCCAUCCUGAAAUGUGGUCCCUUGCCUGGUCCAUUUUGAUUUCUAUUUGAGUGCAGUUCCAUUGAUAGAUUUGACUGGGUACUUUUUUUUAUUAUUGACAUUGUUUUGGAUAAAUAUGAGCAUAAAACUCUUUUCCUUUAUACUUUCUCUUCUUUGAGGAUUUGGCAAGUUGGUUUCUUAUGCAUACAGAUGUUUAAAGCUAUCUUGGAAUUUCAAUCCCUGCCAAAGAAACCAUUGGUCCAUGUCUUUGGACUCUAGAUUUACUAUGAUAUCUAUUUGGCCUGUGAGGGUGAAUGACGUGGGCUUCCUAUGCUGUCUUUCUUUCCUCUAGCCUAAUAAGAUUACCACUUAGGAGGGGAAAAAUGCUUUACUCCUUGAUUUUAGAAGGGCUGCCAAGUAAUCUACAGUGCGAUCUACAUGCGUCAAAUGAUAUAGCUGCUGCUUUUAACUAUGUUCUUUCUCCCUGCAGUCAUCAGUAGGUUGAUAUUUAUCUGUAGUAGUUCAAGCAGAUCUUGCUGUUCCUUAACAUGCAGGAUGCUGAAACAUCAGCAAGAAAAGCUGAAGCAGCUCAAAAACGUCCAGAAGAUAUAGCUGCAGGAAUGGUGCAGAUGAAUGGCAGAGCUUUUCCUCGACCAACCUUGGGUCUUUGAUAAUGCUCGUUAUUGAGGUUCUUGAGGAAUGGGGAGCAGGUGUGAGUGCGGGAAGCGGAUAUUUGAAAAAAAAAACACUGGAAGUACGGAUGUGGUUAGAAAGCAGGUGCAGGUUCAAAGCCUGCGAAGAUUCUGAAGGGAGUGCAAUGCUUGAGAUAGAGGAUUCCUGCUAUGAAGGACCAUCACUUAAGGCAUUCUCUUGUGUCAGGAUGCAAUGAGUUCUGUCAAUGCAUGAGUGCAUAAAAACAAAUUAGCCUUAUUGUCAGUAUAACAGAGAACCCUCGUAAUCCUACAUGAGUACAUUCUUUUUCAUUAAGAUUAAUUAGGACCAUUGCUGGCCAAAAAAAAAUGCAAAAGAAUUACGUUGCUGAACAAAA
Phoenix dactylifera (date palm) is the source of this 2789-nucleotide non-coding RNA. NCBI's taxonomy places the organism in Eukaryota, Viridiplantae, Streptophyta, Magnoliopsida, Arecales, Arecaceae. The record is from RefSeq and is a predicted model, not a curated record.